This 267-nucleotide ribosomal RNA is filed under the name uncultured bacterium. Its description in RNAcentral is "partial 16S ribosomal RNA". It matches the Rfam family "Bacterial small subunit ribosomal RNA", at positions 87 to 353 of the family's 1533-position model. The record is from RNAcentral.
UAUGGCGACCGGCGCACGGGUGAGUAACACGUAUCCAACCUGCCGAUGACUCGGGGAUAGCCUUUCGAAAGAAGGAUUAAUACCCGAUGGCAUAGUUCUUCCGCAUGGUAGAACUAUUAAAGAAUUUCGGUCAUCGAUGGGGAUGCGUUCCAUUAGGUUGUUGGCGGGGUAACGGCCCACCAAGCCUUCGAUGGAUAGGGGUUCUGAGAGGAAGGUCCCCCACAUUGGAACUGAGACACGGUCCAGACUCCUACGGGAGGCAGCAUG